This 74-nucleotide transfer RNA is filed under the name Benthodesmus tenuis (slender frostfish). RNAcentral's name for it is "tRNA-Trp". It matches the Rfam family "tRNA". From Rfam's summary of the family: Transfer RNA (tRNA) molecules are approximately 80 nucleotides in length. Their secondary structure includes four short double-helical elements and three loops (D, anti-codon, and T loops). The record is from RNAcentral. Lineage: Eukaryota; Metazoa; Chordata; Actinopteri; Scombriformes; Trichiuridae.
AGGGGCUUAGGAUAAUGCCCCAAGUCCAAGGGCCUUCAAAGCCCUAUGCGGGAGUUCAAACCUCUCAGCCCCUG